Molecule: ribosomal RNA, 444 nt
Filed under: uncultured bacterium
Lineage: Bacteria
Description: partial 16S ribosomal RNA
Rfam family: Bacterial small subunit ribosomal RNA
Source: RNAcentral
GUAGGGAAUAUUGGGCAAUGGAGGCAACUCUGACCCAGCCAUGCCGCGUGCAGGAUGACGGCCCUCUGGGUUGUAAACUGCUUUUAUCUGGGAAGAAAAAGGCCAUGCGUGGCAAAUUGCCGGUACCAGAUGAAUAAGCACCGGCUAACUCCGUGCCAGCAGCCGCGGUAAUACGGAGGGUGCGAGCGUUGUCCGGAUUUAUUGGGUUUAAAGGGUGCGUAGGCGGCUGAUUAAGUCAGCGGUGAAAGACUUCGGCUUAACCGGAGCAGUGCCGUUGAUACUGGUUGGCUUGAGUGUCGGAGGGGUACAUGGAAUUGAUGGUGUAGCGGUGAAAUGCAUAGAUACCAUCAGGAACACCGAUAGCGAAGGCAUUGUACUGGCCGACAACUGACGCUGAUGCACGAAAGUGUGGGGAUCGAACAGGAUUAGAUACCCUUGUAGUCC